AAUCCUUCCCAAUCCAGCCGCCGCACUCAACCUGUUUCCCUUCCUCCUUCCAUUCACACAAACGCAACACAAUCAGAAGCAGCAGCAACACUGCAAUGAGAAAAAAGAGAAGCUGAAAGGGAGGUCUGAGAGACGAAGGGCUUAGAGGGGAGGGAGACGCCGUCCUCCCUGUCGCCGGAACCGCGAGGAGCGUCGCCGCCAAAGACGUGUCGUCGUUUCUGCCCAGUCGUGGUUCUGCCAUCCAUCACCUCGUUCCGUCACCUGAAGCGAAUCGCAACGACGAGAGGGAGAGCUCGUGCGCGAAGGGAGCGCGAGAAGGAAGGAAGGUCACGCGAACCACAGCGCGGAGCCGCGCUGCUGUGCGCUGUCGCCGUUGCGUCGGACUGCUGCCGCCGUCGAGCUUCGAGGAGAGAGAAGGAGGUUGCGUGGAAGAUGAGGCGCGAUGGUGGUAAGAGGUUCUGCCACCCCUCUGCUGUUGCUGAGCUGCCGCCGCCGCUAUGAAGGCUCCGCCACUGCCUUGUUGCUGCUGGGGAGAAGGAGACCAGAAUGGGUAAGUAGGAGGGGUUUCUGCCACCGUUGGAGCUCAGUUGCCGUUGUUGUCAUGGCCGCCGCGCCUUUGGCUGCUGGGAGCAGUAUCGUGGCCGCCAGAACCAGUCUUUCUUGGGUUGAGUCCCGGUAUUUGUGCGUCGGAAUUAAAGAUGCUGUUGGGCCACCGGAGCUUCUGGCCGCUCACGGAUCUUUUGUCGGGCAAUUCGAAGUCGUAGCUGCUUCGCUUGUUAGUAUAGUUUGAGUUCCGGUGAUUUCGUGUCGCAUAAGUGUUGCGGAGGCUGCCGUGUCAUUCCUUUUAUUUCAGUAAGUGUUUUAUCUCGGAGAUCCUCGCCAUUUGUUUUCAGUCAUGAGUUUUAAGAUUUCCGCGAUAUUGAUGUGUUAGGAAGUAGUAGCUGAGCUUAUAUGUGGCGCUGAGGCUGUUUCUUAUAUUGAGAAAAACACGCGGAGCCGGGAUUUUGAUUGUGAUUUCGAGCUGAGGCGAAAAGGACUCUGAGAGACGUUUGGGUUAUGGAAUUUGCGUUUUGAGGACAUGGGCACAGAAGUUAUGAAGAUUUUAUUUAGUUAUUGUUGAGAUGCUCUGUCUUGUUUUAGUUAUGGUUUAUUGAACCCUCGCCAUUAUCUUGAUAUAUUCUGUAAGAGGGAUAGGAAUUGUAUUGG
Non-coding RNA from Arachis ipaensis, 1206 nucleotides. NCBI's taxonomy places the organism in Eukaryota, Viridiplantae, Streptophyta, Magnoliopsida, Fabales, Fabaceae. The record is from RefSeq and is a predicted model, not a curated record.